Molecule: ribosomal RNA, 379 nt
Filed under: actinobacterium enrichment culture clone LiUU-15-765
Lineage: Bacteria; Bacillati; Actinomycetota; Actinomycetes
Description: bacterial SSU rRNA
Rfam family: Bacterial small subunit ribosomal RNA
Source: RNAcentral
CAGCAGCCGCGGUAAUACAUAGGGUGCAAGCGUUGUCCGGAAUUAUUGGGCGUAAAGAGCUCGUAGGUCGUUUGUUACGUCGGAUGUGAAAACCUGAGGCUCAACCUCAGGCCUGCAUUCGAUACGGGCAAACUAGAGUUUGGUAGGGGAGACUGGAAUUCCUGGUGUAGCGGUGGAAUGCGCAGAUAUCAGGAGGAACACCAAUGGCGAAGGCAGGUCUCUGGGCCAAUACUGACACUGAGGAGCGAAAGUCUGGGGAGCGAACAGGAUUAGAUACCCUGGUAGUCCAGACCGUAAACGGUGGGCACUAGUUGUGGGAACCUUCCACGGUUUUUUGCGACGCAGCUAACGCAUUAAGUGCCCCGCCUGGGAAGUACGG